Molecule: small RNA, 351 nt
Filed under: Pan troglodytes (chimpanzee)
Lineage: Eukaryota; Metazoa; Chordata; Mammalia; Primates; Hominidae
Description: processed transcript
Source: RNAcentral
GCAGCCAAGGGUGGAUGGUCCAGGGAUGGAGCUGCCAAGGUGGGUGGCCUAGAGAGGGAGAAGGAGGGUAGGAAAGAGCCGGAGGGAGAAAGCCUUGUGUGGGGAGGGAAGGCUGGCUGGACAGAGGCUCAGGGGACUGAGGUGGUGACUCUUGGCAGGUUCUGGACCACAGCAAGCGGUGGUGGCUGGUGAAGAAUGAGACGGGACAGAGCGGCUACAUUCCAAGCAACAUCCUGGAGCCCCUACAGCCGGGGACCCCUGGGACCCAGGGCCAGUCACCCUCUCGGGUUCCAAUGCUUCGACUUAGCUCGAGGCCUGAAGAGGUCACAGACUGGCUGCAGGCAGAGAACU